AACGAACGCUGGCGCCAGGCCUAACACAUGCAAGUCGAGCGAGGACUUCGGUCCUAGCGGCGGACGGGUGAGUAACGCGUGGGAACGUGCCCUUUGCUUCGGAAUAGCCCUGGGAAACUGGGAGUAAUACCGGAUGAGCCCUUUGGGGGAAAGAUUUAUCGGCGAAGGAUCGGCCCGCGUUGGAUUAGGUAGUUGGUGGGGUAAUGGCCUACCAAGCCGACGAUCCAUAGCUGGUUUGAGAGGAUGAUCAGCCACACUGGGACUGAGACACGGCCCAGACUCCUACGGGAGGCAGCAGUGGGGAAUCUUAGACAAUGGGGGAAACCCUGAUCUAGCCAUGCCGCGUGAGCGAUGAAGGCCUUAGGGUUGUAAAGCUCUUUCAGCUGGGAAGAUAAUGACGGUACCAGCAGAAGAAGCCCCGGCUAACUCCGUG
RNAcentral lists this ribosomal RNA (433 nucleotides) under uncultured bacterium. RNAcentral's name for it is "partial 16S ribosomal RNA". It matches the Rfam family "Bacterial small subunit ribosomal RNA", at positions 29 to 507 of the family's 1533-position model. The record is from RNAcentral.